UACGAAGGGAGCUAGCGUUGUUCGGAAUUACUGGGCGUAAAGCGUGCGUAGGCGGUUCGUUAAGUCCGUUGUGAAAGCCCUGGGCUCAACCUGGGAAUGGCAGUGGAUACUGGCGAGCUAGAGUGUGAUAGAGGAUGGUGGAAUUCCCGGUGUAGCGGUGAAAUGCGUAGAGAUCGGGAGGAGCACCAGUGGCGAAGGCGGCCAUCUGGAUCAACACUGACGCUGAGGCACGAAAGCGUGGGGAGCAAACAGG
Molecule: ribosomal RNA, 253 nt
Filed under: uncultured bacterium
Lineage: Bacteria
Description: partial 16S ribosomal RNA
Rfam family: Bacterial small subunit ribosomal RNA
Source: RNAcentral